UACGGAGGGUGCAAGCGUUGUCCGGAAUUAUUGGGCGUAAAGCGCUCGUAGGCGGUCUGUCGCGUCGGCUGUGAAAACUCGGGGCUCAACCUCGAGCUUGCAGUCGAUACGGGCAGGCUAGAGUUCGGCAGGGGAGACUGGAAUUCCUGGUGUAGCGGUGAAAUGCGCAGAUAUCGGGAGGAACACCGGUGGCGAAGGCGGGUCUCUGGGCAGAUACUGACGCUGAGAAGCGAAAGCGUGGGGAGCAAACAGG
This 253-nucleotide ribosomal RNA is filed under the name uncultured bacterium. RNAcentral describes it as "partial 16S ribosomal RNA". It matches the Rfam family "Bacterial small subunit ribosomal RNA", at positions 524 to 776 of the family's 1533-position model. The record is from RNAcentral.